GUGUCAGCCGCCGCGGUAAUACGAGAGGCCCAAACGUUAUUCGGAUUUACUGGGCUUAAAGAGUUCGUAGGCGGUCCAUCAAGUGGGGUGUGAAAUCCCUCGGCUCAACCGAGGAAUUGCGCUCCAAACUGUUGGGCUCGAGGGAGAUAGAGGUGAGCGGAACUGAUGGUGGAGCGGUGAAAUGCGUUGAUAUCAUCAGGAACACCAGAGGCGAAGGCGGCUCACUGGGUCUCUUCUGACGCUGAGGAACGAAAGCUAGGGGAGCAAACGGGAUUAGAAACCCCCGUAGUCC
RNAcentral lists this ribosomal RNA (292 nucleotides) under uncultured bacterium. RNAcentral describes it as "partial 16S ribosomal RNA". It matches the Rfam family "Bacterial small subunit ribosomal RNA", at positions 505 to 796 of the family's 1533-position model. The record is from RNAcentral.